This 15392-nucleotide long non-coding RNA is filed under the name Nicotiana benthamiana. RNAcentral's name for it is "long non-coding RNA (NBEN_LNC029624)". The record is from RNAcentral. Lineage: Eukaryota; Viridiplantae; Streptophyta; Magnoliopsida; Solanales; Solanaceae.
AAAAUCACCCCACUUCUCUUCAUAUCUAACUUAGAAACCCUAGCGCCGCCCUCAAAUUCUCUCAGCCAUCUCCGCCGGCGGCGACGCCGUGAACCACUCCAAUCCGCUCCAAAAUAACACCACAUUCAUCCCCUCAUCCCAACUUUCUAACCCGCUGCCUUCAAAUCAUAGUCGAGCCCCUCGAAAUUCAGAUCGAAGACCGGAGUUCCCUGAACCCUAAUCUCUCCAAACAUCUUCAGAUCUUUACCACACAACCGCCUUCACCCUUCUUUAUCAAAUCCAUCAUUAAUUACCAAAACCCCCACCCAUUUAUCCCAAAUUGGAAUGGGGUUCCAAAAGAAAUUGGGAACCCUAACUUGUUUCCUUUAUGAGCUCGAGGGUUUAAUAGUUGAUUUGGGGUCGAAAUUUAUGUUUUUUGAUUGUUCCUAUCUAUAACAAUUGAUUGGUACCAAUUCUGGCCCAUUUCAAAGUUCACCGAGCUUCAUGCAUGGUUUAAAGGCCGGCAAAAUUUCUAUCAGUAGGUAUUUGUUUCCUUUCCUCCUUUUAUUUCCUUAUUUCCCGCCUCUUCAGCUUCUUCUUCCAUUCUUCUAUUUUCUUUGUUUGUUUGUUCAUCAUGUUUCUUUCUCUAAAUAUGAAAUGAGUAGUUAGUUCAAGCCGUUUGAUUUUUUAUUCUUGUGAAUAAUCAUCAGUUCAGGGUCAAGAAAAUAUUGCUUUUUUUAUUUUAAUUAGUUAACCUUGUCAAUUGUUUCAAAGUUUUAAAACUCAAAUAAGCUCAUUGUUCUUGCUAUAGGUCAAUUUUGAUUACUCAAAUGUGGGUUUAUUUUUGAGUAACUUUCAACGUCAAACUCAUUUGAAUUUCAUAGAUUAAUACUGUUUUGAUUCAUUUGGAUUUUGGUAUUUGUUAGAAAAUUAUAUAGUUAGUUCAUACAGGGUCAGAACUUUCAAGGGUCUCAAUUGAGUAAUUAAAAACUUAAAGGGGGUAGUAAAAGAACUUAGGAGGUCAAUUGAAAAAUGUAAAAGUGAGAAUUUCAAUUAAGGCAUUUAGAAGUUUCUAGAUUAUGAACAACUGUCCAUUUUCUGUUAGAAAAGAUGCCCUGUGAGGGGUAUUUUGGGAAAAUUCCAUUUUCUUGCCUUAGAAGGCACACAACAGAUUUCUGUUGUAUAAAUAAGGCCUCCCCUUCACUCUUUACAGGGAAUCAGACCCUAAAAAGACUGCAAAAAGCUCUCUACACUAUUUCAUUAAAAAUUGGUUGUUUUUUUAGUUUUCUGCUAUUGAAGAGGAAUUUUGAAAGGUUUUCAUUGAGUAUAUGAUCUUUGGGAUUAAAUAUGAGCUGAAGCUAUUUGUUGGUUGGUUGUUGCUAUUUCUUUGCUUUACUGAACUUUUGUGUUUUCACCUCUCUUUGCCUUUGGUUUUCAAGGUAUUUUCUCGGAUUAUGAUAACUACUUAAGUGUAGGAGUAUUUUUAUGUAUGUAGUUGUAAUGAGAAUGUCGAUGAAUGAAUCAAGGGAUUUCAGUUCUUUCUAUAUAUGCUUUUUCUGAAAUUCAAUGUCAAAUUUUUAGUGUAUUUCCUUUCAGCUUAUAUGGUUAGUGUGGGAUUUGUUGAAUGAGGAAUGGUUUAGGAAGAAUUUCAUAGGUGUUAGGAUUUAGACUAAUUCAGUUUCAUGAACUGUUCACUUGGUUGGAUCAUGUGGUUGAUUUUUGUAUUUUCUUAUAUAUCAAGGUUGGUAAUUUGGAUAUCAUGUUAAUAGUGGUUGCUGAAACUCUAUAGCUUAGUCAUUCAAUUUGAACAGGGUUAGUUAACUAUUAGAAUUACAUAGCUUUAGCAUUAUUAGAGUAAUAUGUUAGUGCAAGAUUAGCAUGUGGUGAAGAAUAGCUUUGGAUCCAUCUUCAUUUUACAAUUGCUUGUCAAUAGGUGUAAAAUCUGAAUUCAUAAUCUGCUGAUAUUUUGUUUGUUCUUAUACUAUAUUUUGGAAUUUCUUAAGGGGAUUAGGCUUUGUUUGGGCCAAUACAGGUCAACCUAUUAAGGAAUGUGCCUUUUAUGCUUGUUUCCGACCUUGUCACUCCCUACGCCCAAUUUAGGCCCUAUUAUAUCCAGCAAUAUUUAAUUCAUUAGCAUUCUAAUUGACAUAGUGAAAGGAGUUUUCUUUAAUGUACUGUAUGGCCAUUCUUAUUUAAUGUUGGGCUUGGUAUCACACCCCGCCCUUUGUUGUGACUCUUCUAAAAUCUAAAUGGCAUUGGGCCUAUCGCUGGUCCAAACACUUCAAUUAAUCAAACACUUGGUUUCACCCAACGUGUGUCCGUUAAUAACUAAGUUUGGACUGAAUACUAACUAGGAGUAAAUUUGAAUUCCUUUGGACCCAUUUUAAUCAAGUGUCGCCCUAUUUAAAUUUAACCAAAUCAUCUAUGGCCCUCACAAAUACAAUACUAAUUAUAUAUUAAUGUUGAAUAAUCGUAGAAAAACCUUUAGGGCCUUUUAAAAUAAAAUUGUGAUUGUGUACACGUUCGUGUGACAUAUUUAUAAUUCUAAAAACCAACUCGGAGUAUGCGUUCGCACAACUUCGAUCAAAGUUGCUUAAUAAAUUGUCUUAAUAGGCCACUAAUUGAAUCUAAUUAUAUUUAGUCCGAGAUGUGCCAUCCACAAGUUAAUCAUUCAUGGCCCUCUUAUUAAUAUUAUGACUUAGAUAUAAAAAUGACAAAUGCUCGUAGUUGCGCUAGGCCCAUUUAAUAUAUUAUUGUGGUCGUGGACACGUUCGCAUGACAUGAUUAUGAUUUUAAAAACAAAACCAUAGUAUUGCGUUUGUGCAACUUUGGCCAAACUUUUCUUCAUAAUAAUAAUAAUAAUAAUAAUAAUAAUAAUAAUAAUAAUAAUAAUAAUAAUGUUGUGUUACUAGUCUUGGACACAUUCGCAUGACAUGAUUUUUGACGCGCCAAACAAAUGGGUACACAUACGCGUGACCUGUUUCAAGAUAAUUUUCUUAAUUAAAAAAUGGUAAAAGGUAAAAGCACAUAGGUUUUAAAAUGAGUAAUUAAACAAUUUAAUAAGCCAAGUAUGAUCAAAGCGUGUUAGAACCACAGAACUCGGGAAUGCCUAACACAUUCUUCCAGGUUAACAGAUUUCCUUACUCGAAUCUUUAUAUUCGCUGACAUUAAUACAGAGUCAAAUUUCUUCGAUUCAGAGUUUUAAAUCGAUGACUUGGGACACCAUAAAAUAUCCCAAGUGGCAACUCUAAAUUUUAAAUAAAUAAUCUCGUUUCGAUUGUCACUUAAAUUGAAAAAAUCCUCUUAUAACCCUUUUGGGGUGAUAAAAAGGAGGUAUGACAAUAUAAAGCAUCAUUUAAAAUUUUCUAUUAAAAAAAUUUGAAUCACAAAAUGAUCAUUAACCAAUCAAUUUUUAAAGGUUCAUUUUUUAAUCUCCAGAGAUUUUUUAUAGGGUAACAAAUUUAUAGUAACAUCUUUACUCGUCGAAUAGAUAGCUUAAGCGUUAUACAAAUAUCUUUGUUUAUACAUUAAAGACCGAAUACUUAAAUAGACAUUUUGAUAACUUAUGUGUCUUUUCGUAUUUUGAUGAUCUAACAAACUUUAUGAUAAGAACAAGAUCGAGAACCAGUUCUGGUGUAGCCGCAGUGGGACCGCGGCAGAACGCAAAAAUUUUAGGGACCAAAGUGUCAAAUUGGGAAAAGUUGGUGAAAACCCCUUAUAAGAUGUAGAAAUUUGGCCAUAUUAGGACAGACUUGUUUUGGAGAUUAUUAUUGCAAGAUACACAAGUGUGAGAGAUCACCCAAAAACAUCAUAGUUCAUUAUCUCUUCUUUUUCUUGCAAUUUUCCAUGAUGAAUAUUUUCGUAGUUUAUCUUUACGUUGUNNNNNNNNNNNNNNNNNNNNNNNNNNNNNNNNNNNNNNNNNNNNNNNNNNNNNNNNNNNNNNNNNNNNNNNNNNNNNNNNNNNNNNNNNNNNNNNNNNNNNNNNNNNNNNNNNNNNNNNNNNNNNNNNNNNNNNNNNNNNNNNNNNNNNNNNNNNNNNNNNNNNNNNNNNNNNNNNNNNNNNNNNNNNNNNNNNNNNNNNNNNNNNNNNNNNNNNNNNNNNNNNNNNNNNNNNNNNNNNNNNNNNNNNNNNNNNNNNNNNNNNNNNNNNNNNNNNNNNNNNNNNNNNNNNNNNNNNNNNNNNNNNNNNNNNNNNNNNNNNNNNNNNNNNNNNNNNNNNNNNNNNNNNNNNNNNNNNNNNNNNNNNNNNNNNNNNNNNNNNNNNNNNNNNNNNNNNNNNNNNNNNNNNNNNNNNNNNNNNNNNNNNNNNNNNNNNNNNNNNNNNNNNNNNNNGUUAGUUUCAAUCUUUAUUUAUUCAACUAUGUUCUUGUUGUAGUUAAUUGACAGGAUCCUCAAUUAGUUGUGCCUAUUCAGUGUGCAUAACUCGGAAGAGAGUGCAUAUUUAGGUAAUUGUUGAACAACACCACUCCCAAAGUAUAAGACGGAUCUAUAAUUGCGGGUUUAAAGGCGGGAUUAGGGAUAACGAAACCUUGGGUGCAAUCUAAAGUGAGUUGUAAUAAAUAAAGUUAGCUAGCGUAUCUCGGGAGAGUGCAUCUAGUAAAUUAUCGUGAUUACAUGAGAGAGAUUUACUGUAAAAAGAGUGCUCAGGAUUGAUAGAGAUGUUUUGGUGAAUCUAUAUGAUGCAUAACCGGAAGGGAUUCCAUCAAUAGGGGAAAUCAAUACCUUAGAAUCUUCUUAUUGUUGUUUACAACUCAAGCAUAUUUAGUUUACAAUUGUUUCUUUACUGUCAGUCUUAGUUAUUAGAAAUAACAUCUACUGUUGUUUCCAACGUUUGGGAAAGUUGAUUCUAAAGAAUUUAGUACGUCUAACAAAAGUGAUUGAUAGGUUAAUUCUCUGUGAAUUCGACUCUGGGUAUAAAUACUUAGGUUAUAUUGUAAAGCCCGUGUGUCCUUUUAUAAGGCAUAAAGUUAUUGACAAAUUUAAUACAUUACCAAUAUAUCUUGAAAAUUAACAUUAAGGAAAACUCAAAUGUACGAAUAUAUUAUAAAAAAAAAUUAAUAAAAUAAUAUUAAGUUAUGUUAGUUAUAAAUAAAAUAUCUAGGUAAAAAUAUAUUAUAUAGUAUAUACUAUUGAAGGUACUAUAUAAAUAUGAAUAUUUAUAUAAUGUCAACGGCAUAAUACUUUUCAAGUAAAAAUAUUAUAAAAUUUGGCUAAUUGACGUUUGUAAUAACUAAAGCAAAGUAAUUUUUGUGUAAUAAAAGAAAGAAAAGUAAUUUUUGAAAUGAACACAAAGUUAAAAUAUUUUUACUUAACAAAAAAAUAAUUUUUAGGUAACAAACACAAAAGUUAAAUGACCAUAAAUAAAAUUAAAGUAUGUAUAAGUGGUAUGAUAUUUCAAGAAUUUGAAAACCACCUGAAAAUUUAAUUCAAAUGAGCCUUUUAUUUCACGUAAAAAGAUUAGUGAUGUCAAUAUUAGGACAUCUAGAUCAAAUUUACUCAUAUCUACACAAUAAUAUUGGGUAUUAUAUGCAAUCUAUCAUUUUUGAGGAAAAAAAAACUUAUACUAAUUGAACAUCAUUUUUGACAUUUUGAAAAUACAUGGAUUGACCGUUCAUUUUAGUCUUUAUUUUAAGAUAUAGGAGAUUUACCGUCUCAUUCAAAUUAAAUGGUGAAUUGAAUGUUCUCCAAAUAAAUGAUUAUGAGGAUUUAAUUAAAUUUUACUUUUUAAAAAAAAAAAAGAUAGAGAGAAGACAAGACAUAAAUAAGAGACAUGGCGUUAAAGUAGACUAUCAAGACUAGUAAAAGGUGAAAAAAGAAACUUUUAUAAUAAUAACAAAAAACAUCCAUUCUGUUACAUCAAUGGUCUUCAGUUCAUGUUUCUUUUUUCUUUCUAUUCUUGGUGUUCAACAAUAAAUCUAGAACAUUACAAGUACUUCUCAUCCUUUGAUUUUGUCGGCCGUCUUUGAACAUUUGAUAAUGCAAGUCUCCAUCAUCUUCUUGUCUGUCAUAUAUACAAAGACUUUCUUUUUAAUACGUGUAUACAAGGUUUCCUAAUUCAUAGUUGCACUAAGAUAAAUUAAAGCAUAGCAAUCUUAACAUUAGACCCAAAAUGACAAUAACAACAACACCACCAAAAAAAAUAUGGUACACUGGAUGAGACUGUUUUUUUCUUAAAUUAAGGUUUCGGUUCGAUCCAUGGGUAAAAAAAUCUUUAGUACGGAGCGGUUUUCCCCAAAUGGGGCCCUACAUGGCUCGAACCCGAAUAUAGACGAGCUCCAAUGUGGAUACCGAACACCGAAUAGAAAACCAAAAAGAAAAAAAUAACAACAACACAAUAUUAUCCGACGAGUGGGGACUAGAGAGAUUAGCGUCUACACCGGCUUUAACCCUACCUUGAUUGAGUAAAAAAGUUAUUUAUGAUAGAUCCCCAGUUCAAAAAAACGAAAAAUUGGACCCAAAUUCACAAUUUUAAAAUUAGAUAAAUAGAUAGAUAAAGUGAGAGCGAGGACCACUAAAAGUUUUGAUGCAAUGGAUAAAAUUCAUUUAUGCUUAAUUAGAAGUCUCGAAUUCGAGUCUUGAAAAUAAAAGAAAAUUUAAUUGGUAGGGAGCAUCAAUGACGAAUGUAAUGGAGUAUUACCGGGUUCAACUGAACUCAUAACUUUUGAUGUAAGGUAAAAAUUUAUGUGUAAAAAUAUAUUAAAAUUAUAACAAUCGUAGAUACAAACCCAUAACUUUAAAAAUCUAAUGAGUUCAAUGCCAAAAAUUUUAAAAAAAUUAAACCCAUAAAAUUUAAAUCUUGGAUCCGCCUCCGAGGAGCAUCUCCUCCUUUAAUAGAUCUUACAGCGAGACGAACCUAAAUUAUUCAGGAUCUAAAAGCGGAUACCGAGCCGGGUUGGAUACCCAAAAUAAAGAGUGAGAAGAAGAGAUAGAAAUAUAGAGAUACCUCCUUUAUACUUAACACAAUCAUUAAUGGUGCAAUGUUUCCAUGUCGACGAAGAAAGAUUAGGGUUUUUACAAUCUUGUUUACAGUAUUCAUAGCAACCAGCAAUGUCAGCAAAGCAAGUUGAGUAGCAUUCAUCAACACAUUUUUCAUAUGGAUCUUCAUCUGCAUAUACAAAAGAAACCAUAAUUGUUGUGAUUAUCAUGAGAAUUACCACUUCUUUCAACAUCUUAAGCUUCAUUUUUUCACAAUUUCUCACUUUAGUCUUUUUCUUUGUUAUGCAAAAUGAAGAAGCAUAGCUUCACCUUAUAUAGGAGAUCACAUAAUCUAGUAUUUAAUGAUUAUGUUUUAUGGAGGAAAUUAAUAUUAAUGAUAGUAAUAAAAUCUAAAAGUAGUUGUUAGGAAUAAGACCUUAGUAAAUGCAUAAGUGUGGACAUCUGUGUUUUACUUUUGUAACUGUUUCGACCGGAGUAAAUGCCUGAGGAUUAUGGUGAUCUCUCUCUCUCCUUUGUUUUUUAGUUCUUUCUUCUUAAAGGGCCAUAACAAAUAGAUUUUGGAGAGUUUAGGUAGGUAAAUAAUAAAUAUUUAAAAAGAAAAGAAAAUUGCGUUGCUGAAAAAGCAAGACGAUGAAGAGCUAUUGCAAUGAACGAGAUAGAGGUAAAAAUAGCAUGGGCUAGCUAGUUUUCGAACUAGUUAUUUAAAAAUAGCCAUUAUUUAUAAAGUUAUUGAAAAUUAAUUACUAUUUUGCUGCAACAUGAAAAAUUCCAAUAUAAUAUACUGGGGAUCGAUACACCUAUGUAUGAACUUCCAGUAUAUUAUGUUGAAACCCCAACACGACGAAAGUUCCAGUAUAAUAUAUUGAAGAUUGGAGCACCGGUGCUUCAAUUUCCAGUAUGUUAUACUGGACCGGUAUAUUAUACUGUAACUCCAAUAUAAUAUGUUGGAGUUCUAUAUAUUAUACUAGAGUAUUUUUCCGGAUUUUAAACAUUUUGAACAGUAUUUUCGUUCAUAUUUAUCUUUACAUGAAAAGUGACUAAAUUUCAGUUAAUUUUAAAACUUUGGCUAUUUUUGAAUGAUCAGUUGUAAAUAUGGCUUUUUUCGAAUUUUUCCCUCAACUCAAAAUCCACUAGUCGUGAUGACACCUACCCAACCCGCUAGGUAAGCCAACUAACAACUAUCCAACUUCAAUAAUGUUAAAAAGACGAUUAAACAAGGGAAUUAUAUGAUCGUAUACAUUUCCCAAGUACUAGUAGUAUAAAUCAUGAACUUCUAAAAAUAGAAUUUACAAAGUUGAUAUGAAGUAAAUACAUCUUCUAUUUGAAAAGUACAUAAAUCAAGUUUUAUAAAUUUACGACUACCAUGAAGAAGAGACAGCUAACCAGAAUGCAUGUACAUCUUCAAAUUCAGCAACCAACGAACACAACAACAACCAACAUCUGCACGCAAUGUGCAUAAGUGUAGUAUCAGUACAAUCGAUCGCAUGUACUGGUAAGUACACCUAACCUUAGGUUGAAAGUAGUGACGAGUUGGAACAUAGGUCGGGUCCAAUACCAAUAACUAAUAACAGUUCAUAACGACGCUGAGCAUAUAAAUAAGGAAGUAACUCAAAGAUAAAAUACGUAGCUUUUUCACAGUUUUUUCGAAAAAUAGUUCUGCUUUUUCAAGAAUAUCAAUGAAAAUCUAAACCUUUUACUGAGAUCAUCGGAAAAUAUGAGAUAGUUUGAUAACCGUAAUGUUUGUCAAAAAAGUACUUUCCACAAUAAGUACGAUGUCUCAUUUUCUUUCCAGAUAGCAUAUGUAAAAUACCUUUCUGUGCCCACAUAUCAAUGUGUGUAAAAAGUCAUGAAUGACGUGAUACCGUACAACAUGAGAAAAAAUACAUCUCUAUGCAUGUAUGUCAUGUGUGCAUGCCAAUUCCAUAUAUCUUAGGGGUCGUUUGGUAGGGUGCAUAAGAAUAAUGUUGAAUAUGGUGAAUUAGUAAUGUUGGCAUUAGUUAUGCUGGUGUUAGCUAUGCUAGCAUAUUUCUUAUCCGUUGUUUGGUUUGAUGUAUUAAAGCAUUGCAUAAUUUCUAAAAGAAUUGCUUUUUUACUAAAAUGCCUUCAAAACCAGUCCAUCACUCUAACUUUUUAAAAGUAACAUAUGUCAGAAAUAUUUUAUAUGAAAAGUUUAAAAAAUUAUUUGAUUUAUCUACCUAUAUUGUAAUAUAGAACUAAAUAUUUAUUGAUAAAAAAAUAUUAAAUAUUUAUUUAUUUACUAGAGAUAUAAUUUUAUUCCUCACCAUUUGGAUUAUUUUAAACUUUCAUUAGUAUAAUAACUAGUAUAUUUUAUCAAAUAUAUAUUUUGAAUGAUAAUUUUAUCUAUAACAACUAAGCUAAUGCAUAAUUCCUAAUACCAUAAUUUUUUAUGUAUUAAUUAUUCAUAGGAUAAUACCAAAUAAGAUGUAUAACUAAUUCUUGCAUAAGUAAUGCAUAGGUUCAAAAUGUCUACCAAAUAAGGUAUUAUUAAUACACAAAGCUAAUGCAUGCAUUAUUCUAUCUAAUGCAUCCAACCAAACGACCCGUUAGAGAUAAAUCAUGUACUCACACUCUCAGAGUACUCAAUCUCAUUGUCUCACACUUUAAUUUACACUCAUCAUGCUUAACCACUCGGUACUGUAUAUGGCCUAUUUGGCAAAAGAUCCAUCCUGGAAUAUAUACAUCAUUGUUCAUCAGUCACUGAGUACCAAGGAAGGUCAAUCUGGCCCCAUGGAGAAGAUCCAUCUCCAAGUAUAUAAAUGCUUUGGAAAAGAUCUAUGUCCAUGGAAGAUCCAUCCCUCAAUAUAAUCAAUCGCGCUCACUAGGGUGUAUAAAGACUUUGGAGGGGCUCCUACAUGCCAAUAGCUAUAAUCUGUAUGAACAACUCACGUCUAGCACGGACAACUCAUGUGCUAAAGUAUCAAUAUCAGAAUCCGCAUGGAAACUGAUAUGUUAUAGUAUCAAUAUCCUCAUAAUCAGGCCCUCGAUUUCACUUAGUCAUAAAUCUCUCUAUACUUUUUAUAUCGGGCUCACAAUAUCACGAAACUAGCCGGAAUAUAAUGAUGUGAUGUAUUAAUAUAUAACAACAGAGGCUGAGAUAUGAUAUGCAUAUGAAUGUGUAUGACUGAGCAUAUAAAACAAUGAAUGAAGAUAACUCAACAACAGAGAUAGAGCUGUCAAAUUUGGCCCAACCCCAAAAUUGACCCGCCCAACCCGUUCAAGAUUGAGCCAGUUAUUGACGCUCUUAUUAUUGAGCCCAACUCAUCUUGACCCAACACAUCUCAAUCCAUUUAAAGUUAGACUGAUUUUUAGCCCAAAUUAAUACAUAAAUAAUUUUGCUAAAAUAGCUUUAAAAAACAUUUUUGGUAUCAUAUGUUAUAUAUGACCAUAACAAAAGAGAAAAAGUCUUAUUUGGUAAUUAAAAAAUUCAUAAAAAAAAUACCACACAUUAAUUAUAGUUUGGUAAAAGUUGCGCGGGUUGGGCUAUGACCCAAAUUUUAGUUCAUCUUGACUCAGCCAUCUCACCCCAAGUAAUUUGUGGAAAUACUGCCCAUUUAGCUAUUCUAAAGGGCUGAUAUUUAGAAAUUAGUCAAUACAUCCUGAAUUUGAGUUUUCAAGUUUAAUUUCAAGACAAAAGUAACUUAAAUUGUCUUGAAGUUCAAAUUUUUAGUGUAAAAUUCUAGAACAAAAUAAGUAUUGACUAAUCUCUAUAUAGCAUUUCUGAGAAUGACUAUCUGUGCACUUGCUCAAGUAACUUUUGAGCGGGUCAUUAACGUAUCCAUUUAUACUCAGCCAAUUUUGACACGCUAAAAAUCAGUCUAACUGAUCGAUUUGGCACCUCUAGAACGAGACAAUUACUUUCAAUUUUACGCAUUAUUUUCAUUUGAACUCAUCUCAUGCUCUAUCUUUUAUUUUGUUAUUACGAAAGGAUGCCCUUGUUAAAAAUAAUAUAUGGAAAAGUAUUAAUCUUUGUAAUCGUUGUUUGAUACAAUUAUAGACUAUGCUUAAAAUUUGGAUAGUUCAGUUCUAAUUAUUAGAAAGUAAUGCAAUGAGAUGAAAAAGAAGGAAUUUUGAACUUAUUUUUGUGAUAAUUGAUAAUUCUUUUGGAGAUAUACGGAAAACAACUCAAAUCGAAUGACUAGAGUGAAAAUUUUCAGCCAAUUCUUUGAGACCGAUCUUAAUUGCUCUCUUAUUUUUCAUUUAAAUUCAGGAAAUAAUUCAGGAUUCGAGCAUAAUGGGAACACCACUGUCUAUGUAAUUCUUUAAAACUUAAUGAUUAUAAUGACUUAUUAUCCAGAUAUUAACAAAAAGAAGUUCUAAAGAAAAUAAAAGGACUAAACGGGGGUAGAGAAAGAAUUCUUCCCAAAAGGGCGUUCAAAUUUAAAAUUAUCAAGGACUUACUAAAGAAAUUAAGAUGAAGAGUAUGUUAAUACUAAUUAAUUGAAGAAGAGUCUCAAAUUCUUAGUUUUCAUUGCUGAUUCAGAGUGAUUGUUAUAGAAUAUUGUGGCAGAAAAUUUGUAUUUUUUCUAUUUGUGGAGCGACAAGUUACAAUUUGAGACUUUCAAUUUUAAACAAGGAAUUUUCAAAACAAAAAUGAAUUAAGUUGAUUAUUUUGUAUUAAUACUAAACUAUAAUUGGAUUUUAAAAAAAGAAAAAAAAUAAAAGUAGAAAAAUAAGCAAUUUGCUAUUAAAUAAAAAUUACAUUGUAUUCAAAGAGCUAAAAUAAAAAAGAGGAGAGAAGGUUGAAGAAAGCUUUGGGUGGUUUCGAACCCACGUCACCACAACAGAGAGAAUUUAAGUGUCCAAAGCAACUACUUCUCUCAUUUGUCACUUUUUUGUUUUGAGGCACCAUUAAAAUAUUUAAGGGGUCUAUAUAUAUAUAUAUAGGGGAUCAGGGCGUAAAUUUCAAAAACGAUCGGCCGGGUCGUCAUAAUAAGAGUAGAAAAAUUUACCUCGCUCGCGGAAACACUUGCGAGACGAGAGGAUCCUUGAUUUAUAGUUUAUCAGGUAUUCCCCCAAUUUUUUAAAAUAAGAAACUUAAUCAAUAUUUUCAAUUUAAAUUCCCAGUCUCAGUACUAAUCAAGACAAUUAAUACACAUGAUAGACAUGAACAAUACAAUUAAAGGCAUGAUAUGAAUCUAAUUCUACCUGGACAUAUCAUUAUAUAUUUCUACAUACAGACUCUCAUUAUCUCGUGCCUACGUAGCUCCCCGCAACAAGUAGCACACAAUAAUAAUACACAUAAGGGGAUAUGUUCCCUCUUACAAGGUUAAGCAAGAAACUUACCUCAAUUCUAAGUCCUUAAUCUAGCUCUCCAACUUCACUAAAACUCUACAAACGACACCGAGGAUUCCGAAACUAAUCAAAAGUUCGUAUAAACUAGUAAAUAUAUACUGGAAAGUUAUAUAUAUAUAUAUAUAUAUAUAACUUUCCAGUAUAUAUUUACUAGUUUAUACGAACUUUUGAUUAGUUUCGGAAUCCUCGGUGUCGUUUGUAGAGUUUUAGUGAAGUUGGAGAGCUAGAUUAAGGACUUAGAAUUGAGGUAAGUUUCUUGCUUAACCUUGUAAGAGGGAACAUAUCCCCUUAUGUGUAUUAUUAUUGUGUGCUACUUGUUGCGGGGAGCUACGUAGGCACGAGAUAAUGAGAGUCUGUAUGUAGAAAUAUAUAAUGAUAUGUCCAGGUAGAAUUAGAUUCAUAUCAUGCCUUUAAUUGUAUUGUUCAUGUCUAUCAUGUGUAUUAAUUGUCUUGAUUAGUACUGAGACUGGGAAUUUAAAUUGAAAAUAUUGAUUAAGUUUCUUAUUUUAAAAAAUUGGGGGAAUACCUGAUAAACUAUAAAUCAAGGAUCCUCUCGUCUCGCAAGUGUUUCCGCGAGCGAGGUAAAUUUUUCUACUCUUAUUAUGACGACCCGGCCGAUCGUUUUUGAAAUUUACGCCCUGAUCCCCCAUUAACUGCUUCCCCUAAGUUUAUUUCUGCUAUUUUGGUUUGUCGGGACGUUCGGUGUUGAGUUUUGGAGAGUUUUGGGACACUUAGUCCCAUAAUGAGAGCUUAAGUGUUAAAAAAUAGUUCGUAGUUGGAAUAGUGUGAAUACGACCUCGGAAUAGAAAUCCGAUGGUUUCGUUAGCUCCGCUAGGUGAUUUCGAGUUUGGCAGCAUGUUCAUAAUGACUUUUGGAAGUUCGUAGCUCAUUUAGGCUUGAAAUGCUGAAGUUUGAGUUUUUUAUGUUUCCGGUCCAAUAGUGAGUUUAUUAUCCGAGGGUCUGAAUGGAAUUCCAGAAGUUGCAGUAACUCUGUCAUAUCAUUUGGGAUGUGCGUGCAAACUUUCAGGUCAUUCGGACGUGUUUUGGUUAGAUUUUUUAUCGAAAGCGUGUUUCGAUGAAAUUUGAAGUUCUUAGGCUCAAAUCCUUGAUUAAUUCGAUUUUUUGGCAUUAUUUUAGUGGUAUAAGGAUUGAUACAAGUUUGAUAAGGUACAAGGUGUUGUUGGUACUCUUGGUUGAGGUCCGGGGGGGCUCGGGAUGAUUUUGGAUAGUUGACGGGAAGAUCUGAAAAGUGUUGCAGCAGCUGAAGCAUUGCUACUUCAGGUAUUUUCGCAUCUGCGGCUCAGGUUCCUCAGAUGUGGUGCCGCAGAAGCGGCUAAAGGGCUGCAUAAGGCUUUGGGUCAUCUCUUCAGGUUUCGCAGAUGCAGAUGUUUUAUCGCAGAAGCGGUUUCGCAUCUGCGGAAGAAGAACGGCAGAUGCGGGUCCUGGUCCUUUGAGUGGAAGCCGAAGAUGCGACAUACAUUCCGCAUAAGCAGGACUACAGAAGCGGUCUCUUGUCCCCAGAAGCGGAAACCACUAUUCAGAAAUAGAGAUUUCGAGGGUUAAUUUUUAAAAGUUAGAAAAAUCAAAUUGAGCUCGGAAGAGGGCAAUAUUUAGAGGGGUUUUGAAGAUGAGAUUAUUGGGUAAUGUUUCUUUAAUCCCUUCUAGUUAUAUUUCAUCAAUAUAUAGUUAAAUCUAUCUUUUAAAUUCGAAUUUGAGGAUCAAAUUGGGGAAAAAUUGGAAGAAACUUCUUAGGUUGAAAUUCUGAGUUUUGAGCGGGUUUUUGGUAUCCGAUUUGGGAGAUUUUUAUAUGGUUGGACUCGUGAGAGUGCGAGGGUUCUGGAAAUGAUAAAUUUUUAUCCGAUUCCGAGACAUUGGCCUGAGGGUAAUUUUGGUCAUUUUACCUAAUUUUACGUUUUAUCGUUGAAUUAAAUAGUAGAAUCAAUUGCUUGAGAUGUUAUUUACGAUAUGUAAUUGUAUUUUAUAGAUUUGGGCCAUUUGAAGUUGGAUACUCGUGGCAAAAGUGUGGUUUCAAGUUGAAUUUGGAACCGGAUUGAAGACUGGCUUGUGUAACCUUGUGUAGGCGACCUUUCCCCCUUAAGAUGUGAUAUUUGGUGAUUGAAUGCCUUGUACGUAAGGUUACGAGCGCGUACUUGAUCUAAUUGUUGAAAACCCAAUUUUUACUUAAAAUUAGUUUCUUUCGUAUUUGCUUAUUUCUACUUGCCAUUAUAGCAUGUGCUAGUUUAGAAAGGCAUGUUUAGUUGAUCCAAAUUGUCUAUUUGCUUAAAUUGCAUUACGUAAAGGCAUGUUAGGCUAGAACUAUCUGUUGCUUUGUAUUGUCAUCCUUCAUUUCUGAAUAUUCUCUGAUUGUGGUUGUGCAUUUACAUUGGGACUACGGAUGAGGGAUUCUGGUAGCUCCCCCCUUGUUUGUUUACUUUGGGACUACGGGUUAGAUCCCGAUAGAUCCCCCUGCAUAUUACUUUGGGACUACAGGUUAGAUUCCCGAUAGAUCCCCCUGCACAUUUACUUUGGGACUAUGGGUUAGAUUCUCGGUAGAUCCCCCUGCUCCUUGAUAUUGAAAUGGACUACAGGACGAUAUCCAGGGAGAUCCUCCUUAAUGGUAUUAAUAUGGAAAUGGACUACAGGACAGUAUCCUCGGAGAUCCUCGUUGUUGGUAUUAAUAUGGAAAUGGACUACAGGACGAUGUGUUGUUGGUAUUAAUAUGGAAAUAGACUACAAGAUGGUAUCCUAGGAGGUCCUCAUUGUUGGUAUUGAUAUGGAAAUGGACUAUAGGACGGUAUCCUGGGAGAUCUUCGUAAUUGGUACUGAUAUUGAGCUAUUUUACUCUGAGUUAUCUUAUCUUAUGUGUGUUAAAUUGUUGUUUGUGUAACCUGGCUUACUUCACAGCUGUAUUCCAUUAUUUCUACUUAUUUCAUACUAUUGGCAGCCUUAUUAUUAUAUUUUAUCUCAUUAGGGCCCGGACCUUUCCUCGUCAUUACCCAACCGAAGUUAGUCUUGGCACUUAUUGAGUACCACUGUGGUGUACUCAUGCCUCUUCUGCGCAUGUUUUUUAUGUGCAGACCCAGGUACUUCAUCUCAGGCGCACUAUCCUUGAGGCAAGGAGAGCUAUAGAGACUUGAGGUACUCCUGCAGCAUCCGCAGACCAG